UACGUAGGGGGCAAGCGUUGUCCGGAAUCAUUGGGCGUAAAGCGCGUGUAGGCGGCUCGGUAAGUCUGCUCUGAAAGCCCGGGGCUCAACCCUGGGAGGCGGGUGGAUACUGCUGAGCUCGAGUCCGGAAGAGGCGAGUGGAAUUCCUGGUGUAGCGGUGAAAUGCGCAGAUAUCAGGAGGAACACCAAUGGCGAAGGCAGCUCGCUGGGACGGUACUGACGCUGAGGCGCGAAAGCGUGGGGAGCAAACAGG
This 253-nucleotide ribosomal RNA is filed under the name uncultured bacterium. Its description in RNAcentral is "partial 16S ribosomal RNA". It matches the Rfam family "Bacterial small subunit ribosomal RNA", at positions 524 to 776 of the family's 1533-position model. The record is from RNAcentral.